Molecule: long non-coding RNA, 233 nt
Filed under: Nicotiana benthamiana
Lineage: Eukaryota; Viridiplantae; Streptophyta; Magnoliopsida; Solanales; Solanaceae
Description: long non-coding RNA (NBEN_LNC041763)
Source: RNAcentral
GCAUUCUAUUUCUAAUACUCAAAUCGAAAGGCUAGUCUUCUUUUCUACAUUCUACAGGCCCAGCUUCUUCUGAGAAGUUCGGCAGCAAGGAAGUCUAUUCCCUUGGAUUCUAUUUGGAUUCCUUACCACCGGGGAUUCCCCUAUCCUCACUCUAGGAACAGUAGGAACAUACUGAGGCUAAAGUAGCCGCAGUCUUUGAGUAAGUUGCUAUUGAGCUCAGCCCCUGGUAACAU